CGGUGAUUGGCGCAGCUCGGUAGCGCACUUCGUCUGGGAGGGGUCGGAGGCUCCGAAUCCUCUAUCAAUACCGACCA
This 77-nucleotide transfer RNA is filed under the name Salmonella enterica subsp. enterica. RNAcentral describes it as "tRNA-OTHER". Lineage: Bacteria; Pseudomonadati; Pseudomonadota; Gammaproteobacteria; Enterobacterales; Enterobacteriaceae. The record is from RNAcentral.